This 82-nucleotide transfer RNA is filed under the name Chrysemys picta bellii (western painted turtle). RNAcentral describes it as "tRNA-Ser (ACT) (tRNA-Ser-ACT-2-1)". It matches the Rfam family "tRNA". From Rfam's summary of the family: Transfer RNA (tRNA) molecules are approximately 80 nucleotides in length. Their secondary structure includes four short double-helical elements and three loops (D, anti-codon, and T loops). The record is from Rfam by way of RNAcentral. Lineage: Eukaryota; Metazoa; Chordata; Testudines; Emydidae.
GAUGAGGUGGCCGAGUGGUUAAGGUGAUGGACUACUAAUCCAUUAUCCUCUGCACAUGUGGGUUCAAAUCCCAUCCUCAUUA